AGGGGCUGCACAUGUCGUCAGCUCUGGUUUGCAUUAUGCAGGUCUGACUGCGGGGAGUUUGAUUAAUGGCUGGAGUCAGAGGGGACAGACACAGGAGCUCAGGGGGAGUUGCACACAACAUGCAGCUCCGCCAAUACAACAACUAGAUAUGGUAAGCAUUGAGGGCCAUUAUUGUUCUCGAUGUGGGGCGUCCUCUGCGGUAAAGUCUCUGGCACACUUUUAAAGACAUGGUGGGUAAUAUAUGCAGGCCUGAGCCAGUGGCCCUGGCAAAAGCAUUCCCCUCCCCCUCCCGAGACUUCUUUUCUUGGAAGAGAAGACAAACAUUUCAACAGCAGACCUGUGAUUCUCAGCAUGCCAACAGACCUGCGUAUUUAGUUUUGGGAUGGAGAAAGAUAAUGCUCUUUACAGGACCCAGAGGACCGAAGCCCUCUUAAAUGAGAUCCGUGAUCGCAAGUUCAAUCUGUACACAAAC
Molecule: long non-coding RNA, 472 nt
Organism: Rhinichthys klamathensis goyatoka
Lineage: Eukaryota; Metazoa; Chordata; Actinopteri; Cypriniformes; Leuciscidae
Exons: 3
Source: RefSeq, a predicted model, not a curated record